UCGUGGGGAACCCGGUGCUA
Molecule: unclassified non-coding RNA, 20 nt
Filed under: Gallus gallus (chicken)
Lineage: Eukaryota; Metazoa; Chordata; Aves; Galliformes; Phasianidae
Description: gga-nc-24 microRNA
Source: RNAcentral